RNAcentral lists this transfer RNA (73 nucleotides) under Chitinophagales bacterium. RNAcentral's name for it is "tRNA-Lys". It matches the Rfam family "tRNA". From Rfam's summary of the family: Transfer RNA (tRNA) molecules are approximately 80 nucleotides in length. Their secondary structure includes four short double-helical elements and three loops (D, anti-codon, and T loops). The record is from RNAcentral. Lineage: Bacteria; Pseudomonadati; Bacteroidota; Chitinophagia; Chitinophagales.
GUCUCCGUAGCUCAGUUGGUAGAGCAGAUGACUCUUAAUCAUCGGGUCACAGGUUCGAGCCCUGUCGGGGACA